AUUGAGAAAGGUCAGUUAUACCCAGAAUAUUUUGGGGGGGGAUUCAAAAUCCAUGUUAAUCCUCUCUCACUCUCUGACCUCUCAGUUCCACAUCAGACCCUCCUUAGUGAAGCCAGCAAAGCCUUGGCAAAGCCUUCGCCACUACCCACAACCUCUCCACACUGGAGAAUCUUAAACUUUAAAAGUUUCCCCUGGCCACUUGCUGUCUUUCCAUCUCUACCUGUUACUCCUUCUGACCCAGUCUUCACACUCUUAAAUCCAGACCUUUUGCUCACUUUCCCCAUCCACCAAGCUGCCAGGCCACCAAGGACAUCACAAUGCCCCUCCCAACUCUCCAGAACAAUCUUCCCACUGUGUUCACACCUGCAUCCUGAUGGCUCAAGCCACUGUCCUUCUGUCUUCCGUGCUCUGCCCAUUUCCGGCCCCGGCCCCAGUAAGGCAGAUUCCAUGGAUUUUGGAUGUGCACAGCCACUGCAUCGUGACCUUAGAGUGGCCUGGUGGCUGGAACAUCAGACUUCUGCUUGCUCUUCGAGCCUAGCACUUGCGAAUAUCUCCAGCAAUGGAAGCUUGUUCGAUCAUGGAAACCUCAGAGGAUGUGAAGAAAGCUACGCAUCUAUCAGUAUCGAGAGAGAGAGAGAGAGAGAGAGAGAGAGAGAGAGAGAGAGAGAGAAAUCCCUCCCUAAACAAGUCCACGAUUUGGGCAGGGUAAAUUUCAUCUGCAGUGCCAGAGAGCAAGGUCAGAGUUCCUAAAUUGUUUUAGUCAAAGAAGGCAAGGAGACACAAAGGGGGUCCAAGGUACGCUCUGGGCAGUAUUUCUGCUCCUUCUGCCCCAGCCUAACAUCAUUCUACUUUGACUGUAACACGCAGGCUCAUCUCUAGAAAAUGAGACAAUGGCCAUUGUCAUUUCCCUUCCCUCAGCCACUGUGAUGACUUGCAAAUACUAACAAGUUACACUGGGGAAGAAUUCUAGCCUCAUAAACGAGAAACAGAGAAAUGACUCAAAGAAUAGUAUAUAUAUUUAUCGCAUUUAAUAGUUCUGUCAUAUUUUCUUCAACAUGGGCAUAGAUGUUUCCAUUCUAAUAAUUCAACCCAACUUUAUCUGAGCACUCCUCACAAAAAAAAAAAAAAUAGAAAAAUAAGUAAGAUUCUAUCUGUGUCCCGUGGUUGGUAAAUUCAGUUGCUUUCGAUUUUACUUGAGUACCUCCAGAGGGACUCAGCUGGAUCAUAUGCAUUAACAUUUAUAUCACCGUUGGAUCCUGUGUUGGUUUAGAUCUAGAUGUCCCCACAAAGCCUCUUGUGGUCAUAGGUGGUUGGGAAGAUGAUUGGAUUACGGGAGUUCAUAGCUCACUUGCUGUUAGGAGGUGGGGUCUGCAUGGAAGAGGUGGGUCACUGUGGGUGUGACCUGGAAGGUUUUUUCUCCACCUCCCUGAUUCCUCCCUUGAAAUUCUGAUUCCCACCAUAAUGAAGUGAGCAAUCUUUUCUCUGCUAUGCCUCUCUGCCAUGUUGUCCUGCCUUGGAGCUAGCCAACUAUGAACUAUAAUCAUGAGCCAAGAUAAACCUCUCCCCUGCUGGGGGUGUCAGGUAUUGUAUGCCAGUGACAAGAAAGUGACCAAGACAGGUCUUUACUUAUUCUCCCAUAUACAGUCCACAGAUACAUCAGAAAGAAAUUCGAUUCUUAGCAUCUGACAGUUUUAAUCUAGUUAAGAUUUCUGAGUACAAGUCAUAUCCAACAAGGAGAAAGAUGUUCAUUCAUCCUUUCUGCUCAUUUAUAAAUAGGCAAAAUGGUAGAGGGAGGCUAUAGGAAGAGCUAUGUAUGGACACUUAGAGACCUACUGUCAUCAAUAGGAAGAACGCAGUCAUUUCUUUUUUAAAAUUUAUUUAUUUAUUUAUUUAUUUAUUUAUUUAUUUAUUUAUUUGAGAUAGGAUCUUGCUAUGUAGUGCAGGCUGGCCUUGAACUCACAGUGAUCCUCCUGCCUUAGCCUCCCAGAGCUAGGAUUACAGGCAAGUGCCACCAUGCCCAGCUAAACUCAGUCAUUGCUAAAGUCCCUCUCCUGUGCUUUGAUAGCUCACCCAGGAGCUGGGAUUUGAAACUUUUUCAAACUAUUAAGGAUUGAAAUUGAGACGGGAUGUUUACUUUCAGCCUCAGUCUCUGUAUUAGUCAGCUAUCUGUCACUGUGAUAAUAUGCUUGAGACAAACAACUUAAAUGAGGAAAGGUUUAUCCUGGUGCACAAUUUCAGAGGUCUAAAUCCAUGUUCAUUUGGCCCUGUUACUUCAUCCUGUGACAUGGUGGGAAGCACAUGGCCAAGGAGGUAUGCUUACCUCAUGGUGGUAGGAAAGCAAAGGAAGAGAAAGGAGAGGGCUGGCAUCUCAAUAUUCCUCUCAAGGGCAUGCUCCCCAGUGUCCUAACUUCCUCCCACUAGGCCCCACCCACUAAUGGCUUUACCACCUCCCAGUAGUGCUAAACUGAAGACUAAACCAUAAACAUAUGGGCCUUUAGGAGACACUACUGUUGCAAACUAUAGUGGUCUCUGUUGGAGUUUGAACCAUUCAACUAGUGACAGUUUCCAAUUUCACACCCUCCCAACAUUUCUCUAGUAUGCUCCAAAUCUCCAUGAGGGGUUACAGACCUAUUUUAGCUGGUUCCAGUUUCCUCUGAGUCACAUCAAACUGAGAUUGCAACAUCAGAAGAAGUUCAACCAAUUAUUAUGUAUAAACAUCAGCCCAUUUGUAUAAUGCAAUCUUCUGGUAGUAAGGACAUGAAAGAUGUCAACAAGGAGGAUCCCAAGCCUGUCAUUAUUCCAGGACAUUUGGGACUACAAGAUCACCAGGGUCACAGAAGAUAAUUAUCCAUAUCAUGCUGGGAACACACACACAAGCUGAGUACCGUGUGGAUCAUGCUACAAAUCUCAAGACAAGCAGUAAAUGUCCAGGGCCUGGGAUCCUUCAUCCUGACCACGCGAUAGCACAGCCCAUGUGAAGAAAAGACUGGCUAGUUUUCCAGCAUAAUAUGGUGUUUUAUUUCACCAUAGUUAGACUGCUGGGAAAUCUCUGGAGGCCCUGGCAGCUGUGUCUUGUCUUUAGUAUGAAGCCUGGGGGUGGGACAGGGAACUCAUAAUUCACAAGAGGCACAGCCCUAAGAGAGCCAUUCUGAAUAUCUGAAUCAGAUGCUGAGGGGGAGCAGCUAUUCCAUUCCUAAGUGAGGAAUGCUUUUUGCCUUUCCUUCUCUCCUUAUCGGCUGUGUCCUCAUGAAAAGAUCAUUUAUGGAUGGUGGAAUGACUGCAUCCCAGCCAGCUUCUGUUUCUCUCUUUUCUCCCUCAAUGGCUGCUGUCCUAUAAAAAGACCCUUUGUGAGAGACUGAAACAGCAGAUGCUGCUCAGAUAAUAUCUGAAAUAAUUUUCAAGGAGGGAGUAUUUUAUCCUGAAUGGAUGUAACACUAUUUUUGUGGUGAAAGUGGUUCUACUGCUGUUCCAAAUUGUCCAGAAACUUGAGAGACUCUUAUGGAAAAGAAGUAUUUUAUCCAAUAUCUUUACCACCAGGGUAUGGGGGGAACUGGUAAUGCCAGUGGGGUUAAAUGGACACUGUUGUAGUCAGGGUUUACAAGGGAAUAAAUUUAAUAUAGGACACAUAACUUAUAGGAUUACUUUAUAAUAAAAAAUGCAGAAGAGUACAGAUCUGUCCACAUACUAGAGACACCAAGAAUCCAGGUGAGGGCCUGGAUCCCACAGCAAUGUCCUGCAUGAGUCCAGCUAGAGGCCUAGAGACCACAACAAUGUCUCCUGCAAGUCUGUAUUAAGGAUCUAUGCUGGGAAGACCCAAAGGCCAAUAAUAGAAGCUAGAAAGUCUGCGUUAGCAGGAUGAAGGAUCUGUGCCAGCAGGCAGAGGGAUCUGCACUGGAGCCAGAAAGCAAUGAUCACGGUAAAGACUAGAGCUCCCCUGAAGAGAACUACAGCCAUGCUCAGUGACAUCAAGGACCUGAGCUCCUCCAAUGAUGAGGACAGCUGAGGUCAAAUCAGGAAAGCCAGUGUGGCAAGCUUCUCCAGAGAAUCAACAGCACCAGCCUCUUCCCCUCCGGUUCUGCUUUUCUGCUUUGGCAACAGUCCUCAAGUGGGCCUUCCACGCCUAAAACCGCACUGGUUCCCUUCAGCUGGGUGUUACAAGCUGACCAUUAGUUAACCCACCAUAGACACCAAGUGGCAUCAUAGGCAGAGUGGGUCCAGGGAACCUAAGGGAAGGGCAGAGGUAGCUGGAAGUUCUGGGGAAGGUGCGAGUCACAGUAGGAAUGGGCUUUGUGCAUGCAAAAGUGAGUCUUACUUACUGGGCAUAUAGAGUUUGAUUAAAUUUAUGAAAAGAAUUACUAAAGUAAAAGGCACUUUGCCACAAAGGCCCCGCAAAAUCCUCCUUCUUGCCCCCAACACACUUGUCCUGUCAUUCUUGCCACUUUCUGAAGCAGUUCCGGAAGUCCUCUUUCCUGAGUGACUUGAGCUGAACUAUAUUUGCUGUCUCAGUGUCCUGCAUCCAUUCAAAACAUUGACAUUUCGUGGUGAUUUUGACUUUGGAGAAGAACCAGAAGUCAUGCAGUGCAGAUCCAAUGAAUACAGUAGGUGAGGACACACCAUGAUGUAUUUAUUAGAUAGAGAUGGCUAUAAACAUUUGAUCAAUGAGGGGUGAUCAAAACAUAUUGUGAAGCCAGGCAUGGUAGCUUAUGCCUGUAAUCUCAGCACUAGGGAGGCUGAGGCAGGAAGAUUGCCAUGAGUUCAAGACCAACCUAGGCUAUAUAACGAGUUCAAGGCUAGCUCGAACUACAUAGUGAG
This 4812-nucleotide long non-coding RNA is filed under the name Chinchilla lanigera (long-tailed chinchilla). RNAcentral describes it as "lncRNA (ENSCLAG00000025735.1)". Lineage: Eukaryota; Metazoa; Chordata; Mammalia; Rodentia; Chinchillidae. The record is from RNAcentral.